UAUGUGAUCGUCUCUCGCAUAUCAAUAAGCGGAGGAAAAGAAACUAACAAGGAUUCCCCUAGUAACGGCGAGUGAAGCGGGAAGAGCUCAAAUUUGAAAUCUUAAAGGGUUUCCCUUUACGAAUUGUAGUUUAAAGAAGUGUUUUCUGUUGAGGUUUUGGUAAAAGUUCUUUGGAAUAGGACAUCAUAGAGGGUGAGAAUCCCGUAUUUGACCUUUACUUUCAACUUUGUGAUACACUUUCAAAGAGUCGGAUUGUUUGGGAAUGCAGUCCAAAAUGGGUGGUAAAUUUCAUCUAAAGCUAAAUAUUGGCGAGAGACCGAUAGCGAACAAGUACCGUGAGGGAAAGAUGAAAAGAACUUUGAAAAGGAGAGUUAAACAGUACGUGAAAUUGUCAAAAGGGAAGCGUUUGACACCAGUGUUGUUUUUCUGAAAAUCAAUUAAAGAACUGUUUAUGCUAAGUUGUUUAGACUUUAUCAGCUAAUCUGCUUAGUUUUGAGCUUUUCUUUAAUGCACUUUUCAGUUAACAAGUCAACAUCAAUUUCUUUUGCUGUAAAAAAGCUUGAGGAAGGUGGCUUGAGAUUCGUCUUAAGUGUUUAUAGCCUCUUGCCUAUGCAGUCGGAGAGAUUGAGGUCUGCAGCGUAGAUCCUUCGGGGCUAAAUGCAUUUGUGCUAAGUUAUAGCAUUUUAUAGACAACUUGUUGACUAUGAUUUGUCUUGUAGCUUACUCGCUUAUGUUAUUUUACCUACGCUUAGGAUGUUGACGCGCGUGUGUGCGUG
Molecule: ribosomal RNA, 776 nt
Filed under: uncultured Neocallimastigales
Lineage: Eukaryota; Fungi; Neocallimastigomycota; Neocallimastigomycetes; Neocallimastigales
Description: partial large subunit ribosomal RNA
Rfam family: Eukaryotic large subunit ribosomal RNA
Source: RNAcentral